AGUUAAUGAACUUGAAUAAGUGUAUGUUUUGAAAACAUAAUAUAGAAAUUAUAAGUUUCUAUUAACUU
This 68-nucleotide transfer RNA is filed under the name Pamphilius sp. ZJUH_2016023. Its description in RNAcentral is "tRNA-Ser". Lineage: Eukaryota; Metazoa; Arthropoda; Insecta; Hymenoptera; Pamphiliidae. The record is from RNAcentral.